AGCAGCAGCCGCGGUAAUACAGAGGGUGCGAGCGUUAAUCGGAUUUACUGGGCGUAAAGCGUGCGUAGGCGGCUUCUUAAGUCGGAUGUGAAAUCCCUGAGCUUAACUUAGGAAUUGCAUUCGAUACUGGGAAGCUAGAGUAUGGGAGAGGAUGGUAGAAUUCCAGGUGUAGCGGUGAAAUGCGUAGAGAUCUGGAGGAAUACCGAUGGCGAAGGCAGCCAUCUGGCCUAAUACUGACGCUCAUGCACGAAAGCGUGGGGAGCAAACAGGAUUAGAUACCCCUGUAGUCCCUGUCUCUUAUAC
RNAcentral lists this ribosomal RNA (303 nucleotides) under uncultured bacterium. Its description in RNAcentral is "partial 16S ribosomal RNA". It matches the Rfam family "Bacterial small subunit ribosomal RNA", at positions 507 to 807 of the family's 1533-position model. The record is from RNAcentral.